GACGAACGCUGGCGGCGUGCUUAACACAUGCAAGUCGAACGAUGAUGCGGUGCUUGCACCGUUGAUUAGUGGCGAACGGGUGAGUAACACGUGAGUAACCUGCCCUCUUCUUUGGGAUAACGGUCUGAAAGGGCUGCUAAUACUGAAUAUUCACAUGUCUUCGCAUGGGGGUGUGUGGAAAGAGACGCUUUUGGGUGUUUUUGGUGGGGGAUGGGCUCGCGGCCUAUCAGCUUGUUGGUGGGGUAGUGGCCUACCAAGGCUUUGACGGGUAACCGGCCUGAGAGGGUGACCGGUCACAUUGGGACUGAGAUACGGCCCAGACUCCUACGGGAGGCAGCAGUGGGGAAUUUUGCACAAUGGACGCAAGUCUGAUGCAGCGACGCCGCGUGAGGGAUGUAGGCCUUCGGGUUGUGAACCUCUUUCGCUCAUGGUCAAGCCGCAGCUUUGGGUUGUGGUGAGGGUAGUGGGUAAAGAAGCGCCGGCUAACUACGUGCCAGCAGCCGCGGUAAUACGUAGGGCGCGAGCGUUGUCCGGAAUUAUUGGGCGUAAAGGGCUUGUAGGCGGUUGGUCGCGUCUGCCGUGAAAUCCUCUGGCUUAACUGGGGGCGUGCGGUGGGUACGGGCUGGCUUGAGUGCGGUAGGGGAGACUGGAAUUCCUGGUGUAGCGGUGGAAUGCGCAGAUAUCAGGAGGAACACCGGUGGCGAAGGCGGGUCUCUGGGCCGUUACUGACGCUGAGGAGCGAAAGCGUGGGGAGCGAACAGG
RNAcentral lists this ribosomal RNA (762 nucleotides) under uncultured Actinomyces sp. RNAcentral's name for it is "bacterial SSU rRNA". It matches the Rfam family "Bacterial small subunit ribosomal RNA", at positions 28 to 776 of the family's 1533-position model. Lineage: Bacteria; Bacillati; Actinomycetota; Actinomycetes; Actinomycetales; Actinomycetaceae. The record is from RNAcentral.